This 500-nucleotide ribosomal RNA is filed under the name Pseudomonas knackmussii. RNAcentral describes it as "bacterial SSU rRNA". It matches the Rfam family "Bacterial small subunit ribosomal RNA", at positions 217 to 709 of the family's 1533-position model. The record is from RNAcentral. Lineage: Bacteria; Pseudomonadati; Pseudomonadota; Gammaproteobacteria; Pseudomonadales; Pseudomonadaceae.
GCUAUCAGAUGAGCCUAGGUCGGAUUAGCUAGUAGGUGAGGUAAUGGCUCACCUAGGCGACGAUCCGUAACUGGUCUGAGAGGAUGAUCAGUCACACUGGAACUGAGACACGGUCCAGACUCCUACGGGAGGCAGCAGUGGGGAAUAUUGGACAAUGGGCGAAAGCCUGAUCCAGCCAUGCCGCGUGUGUGAAGAAGGUCUUCGGAUUGUAAAGCACUUUAAGUUGGGAGGAAGAGCAGUAAGUUAAUACCUUGCUGUUUUGACGUUACCAACAGAAUAAGCACCGGCUAACUUCGUGCCAGCAGCCGCGGUAAUACGAAGGGUGCAAGCGUUAAUCGGAAUUACUGGGCGUAAAGCGCGCGUAGGUGGUUUGGUAAGAUGGAUGUGAAAUCCCCGGGCUCAACCUGGGAACUGCAUCCAUAACUGCCUGACUAGAGUACGGUAGAGGGUGGUGGAAUUUCCUGUGUAGCGGUGAAAUGCGUAGAUAUAGGAAGGAACAC